GCACGAGCUAAGCGCAUCGAUGCCGCGCUUUACAUUUCAUCAGUAAUUUACACGGCUGCCGCGGGGACAAUUCAACAUUAUGUUAUAUUGUUUAGAAAGGUUAAUUCAUAUAAAGCGUACCUGCACGUUUUAAAUCCCUGGAAGAGAAAUGUAAUGCUGUGCCCAGUCGGGUUUUUUUUCUGUGGUGCGUAAUUGAUACGGACAUCCUGUACACCAGUCGGGCAGAGCGUGCCCCCUCAUCUUGCCCCAGAGGGCUUCACUGAAAAAAAAAAAAAAAAAAGAUUAAAAGAAAUAAAUAAUGGAAGACAAACGCAAGAAGCGCAGUCCAAAGGUGUCUCUCCCGCAGCCCCCGCCUCCCCCCAUAAACCCCCGCAAACUCUCCGUCCUGCCUGCCAGCAAAAGUGCCACCUUCUCUCUCGGCCUGCCGCAGCCUCCCUCCCCCAAGAACAGAGGCAAAUAUAAGAGGUCCAUAGGAGCACCAGGACAGCCCAAAGAGGUGUUCACAGCCGUCGUAGCUCCACCAAAGACCACCAGGCCCCAUAAGGAGAAGCCCAGGGCCCCCCAGCCAGCAGGGCCCAGUAAAGUAGUCCAGUCUUCACCCUUGCAGCACUCAUUUCUCACAGAUGUCUCAGACGUGAGAGAAAUGGAGGGAGGGCUCCUCAACCUCCUCAACGACUUCCACUCAGGCAAACUACAGGCGUUCGGUAAGGUGUGCUCCUUUGAGCAGCUGGAGCAUGUGCGCGAGAUGCAGGAGAAGCUGGCGCGAUUGCACUUCAGCCUCGACAGUCACGUGGAGGAGCUUUCAGAGGACCAGAGGAAGUGCGCCUCUGACCACAACCUGGAACACCUGCUCAGUAACCUGUGAACCUUCCAAUAGACUGGACAAUACUGUGUAAUGAAGACAGCCCAUGUUGCUCUGUACUGGUAUUAAAAUUGUUAUCACAUGCUCUGCUGAGCUACCAGUAUGUCCAAGUGUUAAAUAUUAUCCAGCACAAACAGUGAUGUGCAGUCCAAGAAUGCCUUGAAAGAGUUUCUAUUGUUAGCGUGUUGUGUGGCUCCUAGUUACCCACGCCUGGGGCUGGUAUGCUCACUGUGGGGAAGCUGCAGUGCUGUGUGUGUGUGUGUGUGUGUGUGAGGGAUGUGAGAACAAGCCUUCAGCUCACUGCAGACACUGAUGCCAGGAACACUUGCUAGCUCUAACAGCAGUGGGUAACUGUGCCUCAGAGCAGAUGGGCUGUGAAGUGACUUUCCUUUGUGUAGGUAAGGGAAGCUGACCAUUUGCUUUUGUAAACAUUGUAGUUGAACGAUGGGAACUUCAUUCAGAUAUCGACGUGACACACACACACACAGGCUAUUAUGUAAUAUGAUCCCAUUUAGUGCCUUGCAGUAUCACUUCAGUUCCUAUUUUUGGCUGUUUGUAUUUUCGACACAACCUCUCAUCCAUGUGUUCCUUUGUUUUCUGCAGCUGGAGGAGCUCAGCACCUCAAUACAAAAGCUCCACUUGGCUGAGAACCAGGACCUGCCCAAGACAUCUGGUCCCUGACAAAGUGAGGUGUGGAGGACGGCGACCGACACACUCAUCUUCCCCCAGCAUCUAACCAGUCCAGGUUGCCAUGGCAUUGAUCCAGCUGCCUUAGUAACAGAAUGGAAAGAUCCAGAGGAGGGGCUAUUUUUUUUUCCAUUCGGUCAAUGAAGCCGAGGGAAUGAUACAGUGACUCAAAGCAGCGGAGCAUUAAAUGAACACUCAACCAAAAAUCAUAAACCCCUCAUUCAUGGCACAAGAAGCGAUCAGAGGGUUUACUUCCCAGUUGCAGGAGAAGAAAACAUUGUGUGUUAAAAAAAACAUUUUUGUGGCAUCAUUUUACUUGGCUUCAGUUAGUAAUUACAUCAUUUGGUAUCAAAUAAUUGAAUCCAAGUGAGUGUGGUUGUUGGUUCUGUUUUCCAUUACGAAAAGCACAUUUCAUGAGAGUUUAAGACUUUAUAUUGUGUUUUUUCAAUGUCAUGUUAUGCUCAGUCCUUUCCAUAAUUUUAGAUGGUACAUGUCUUUGUCAGAAAAGGUAUAAAACGUGAGCCACACUUACGUAGCAAGUAGCAAACAUAGUUGGCCCAUGUUGACCACAUCACUGUGGUUAUCUCUGAAGUUAAAAGGGAGUUUUCACCUUUUGCUAUUAUUCUCAGUGCACUCUCUCAUUUUUAUAUCUUUGCUAAAUGUUUAAUACUGGAAAACUGGGUUGGAUUUAAUCUCUGGGUGACCGUUUCUUAUAAUUGUGCAUUUUAAAAGGGACUAUGUGAGGAGACCUAAUGUACAAAAUGUAUGUUUGAUUAACUUAUACUGUUUGGAAAAUGACUAAAGAUGUUUUGCCAAUGUGCAGUUCAGCUACUGUAUUUGCAGACUUUGAUGGUUUAAAAUAAUUUAAGUAGGAUGAUUUUGUCUGUUCUGUCAGUGCUUCUUCAGGAUUGCCUUUAGGUUUUAUUUAUAGUUACAUUUGUGAAUUAGAGCCCGGUAGCAGCAUCCCUCCAAGCACAAACUAGUCCACCCUGCUACUGAAAUGCUGUAAAAUCCCCUACUUGAAUCGUUUAAUUUACACAGGGAGUUUGUCCACUCUGACACAGGAAGGCAUUCACUUGUCUCUCAUGACACUGUGAUGGAUAGCACAUCCACAGAGUGAUGCAGCUGGCACAAAUCUCUGUGCAGUACCAUUUCAGAAUGGCAGCUACUUUCAUGGUUAAAAGAUUUAGGGGCUGAGAUUAUGAUUUCCAUUGCAUUUAAACUCCAAACUUGGCAGCAACAUUACCUUGGCCAUAGUAUUUAAUCCCCGACAAGCCAAUUAAAGUGAUAUAAGCGUUCAAUCUGAAAGAUCGAAGCACUGGCGCAUUUAGUUAUUUUAAAAAAUUGUACUGCUCGCUAAGCCUACCUCUUUUCCAAGGCCUUGGAACAUGUGAUACCUUUCUCAUUCUGGUUAGUCCAUCAAAGACCAUAGACUGCUAUUUUUUGUUAGUUUACAUAUUCAGAGGGGUAAUUCACCAGAACGCAGACUACCGUUAGCUUUACACAACAUGCCAUAAGAAUUAGACACAGUCACAACAGAAAAUUUGUGUGUUCUCAUGUGUAUUCAGUGACUGUAUCCAUGA
Toxotes jaculatrix (banded archerfish) is the source of this 3132-nucleotide RNA transcript. It is a transcript of the gene named coiled-coil domain containing 28B, with no coding region annotated. Lineage: Eukaryota; Metazoa; Chordata; Actinopteri; Toxotidae. The record is from RefSeq and is a predicted model, not a curated record. The transcript has 6 exons.